AGGGAAUAUUAGAAAUGGACGCAAGUCUGAUCUAGCAACACCGCGUGUGCGAUGAAGGCCUUCGGGUUGUAAAGCACUUUUUGGAAGGAUUAGGAAGGAAUGUACUUCCAGAAUAAGUCUCGGCUAACUACGUGCCAGCAGCCGCGGUAACACGUAGGAGGCGAACGUUAUCCGGAUUUACUGGGCGUAAAGCGCGUGUAGGUGGUUCUGUAAGUAGGGCGUGAAAGCUCCUGGCUCAACUGGGAGAGGCCGUUCUAAACUGCAGAGCUAGAGGAUGGUAGAGGGAGGUGGAAUUCCGGGUGUAGCGGUGGAAUGCGCAGAUAUCCGGAGGAACACCAGUGGCGAAGGCGGCCUCCUGGACCAUUCCUGACACUCAGACGCGAAAGCUAGGGUAGCAAACGG
RNAcentral lists this ribosomal RNA (402 nucleotides) under uncultured bacterium. RNAcentral's name for it is "bacterial SSU rRNA". It matches the Rfam family "Bacterial small subunit ribosomal RNA", at positions 356 to 775 of the family's 1533-position model. The record is from RNAcentral.